RNAcentral lists this ribosomal RNA (576 nucleotides) under Triticum aestivum (bread wheat). RNAcentral's name for it is "partial small subunit ribosomal RNA". Lineage: Eukaryota; Viridiplantae; Streptophyta; Magnoliopsida; Poales; Poaceae. The record is from RNAcentral.
AAAUUCUAUAAAGAGGUUGAGUGCCUAAUGAAGGUCAAGCACAAAAACAUAGUGCGUUUCCUGGGAUAUUGUUCCGACACGCAAGGGAGAGCUGCAAAUUGCGAAGGGAAAUUUGUCAUGGCAGAGCUGCGAAAUUGGUUGCUAUGUUUUGAGUAUGUAGCGAACGGAAGCCUCGAUAAGUAUGUUUCUGAUGCAUCUCAUGGACUUGAAUGGAGGGAGCGCUACGAUAUUAUCAAGGGAAUAUGUGAGGGCUUACUUCAUCUUCAUGAGGAACGCAUUCUCCACUUAGACCUGAAGCCUGGUAAUAUAUUGGUAGAUGAUCACAUGGUACCCAAAAUUGCUGAUUUUGGUCUAUCAAGGUGCCUUGAUAAAGAGAGAACCCGGGCUUCUACUUUAAACCCAUGUGGAUCAAUGGGAUAUUUGGCACCAGAAUCUUUCGGAAGGAAAUUCACAUUCGCGUCGGACAUAUACGGUCUUGGCGUUAUCAUCCUGGAAAUACUGACCGGAGAGAAGGGGUAUCCAGAACAUGAGGAUGUGGUUAAGACUUGGAUGAAUAGGUUGGAGGGAUCAGAUCAA